UGUUUUUUUUUCUUCUUUUGUCAAGUAUUAAAGGAUUGAAUCCUUUAUCGCCUCUCAGAAAUCCCAAUUUGAAUAGGGUUUAGGUGAUUCAACAUGGCGGCGGAGGAGGGCGGCGUCUGUAAGCGAGCUCACGCCGAGUUCGACGACGGCGAAAUCAUUUCAGAGAUUCUGGCGAGGCUACCGGUAAAAUCUGUGAUGCGAUUCCGGUGAGCGUAUCCAAGUGGUGGAAUUCUCUGAUCUCCGAUCCUUACUUGACUAAGAAGCACUUGAGGUACGCAGAGAUGGGCAUCACGGAGAACAGCUCCAGGCUCCUUUAUUCGAUGGACCCUCCGCAAUGUCUAGACCACGAGGCAUUGAAGGAUUUGAAGGAUCAUAGGGAUGGUUAUUUUGCCAACAGAGAGCUUGGUCUUCCGGUAAUGUUGGCGGGCUACUCCAAUUGCUAUAAAAUUAUUUUUGGUAGUUGCAAUGGUUUAAUAUGUAUUUUCGUUGAAGGAGUCGACUUUAUCUUAUGGAAUCCAUGUACUGGAUACUCCAAGGUGUUACCAAGAACUCCAUUGCCCCUUUUUAAUCCACUUAGUUGUUGCAAUGGUGGGUUUGGUUAUGAUUCUGCUACUGAUGAUUACAAGCUAAUAGUGGGGACUAAAGAAAAUUCCAUUCAGGUUUUCACUCUGAAAACGAGUUCAUGGAAGGUGCUCCCCAUUAUCAAUGCUCUUAACAUCUCAGGUCGGGGGUUGUUUUUUAAUGGAGCUUUGCACUGGUUGGCACAGAAUCGCCAAACAAUUUUGUCUUUUAAUUUGGUGGAGGACAAGUUUCAUCAGAUGAUUCCAUUACCCUAUGAUGAUGCUUGCUUUCAAGGUAUGAUGAUCCAUGGAAAUUGUCUUUGUGUGUCUAAUGUUGGCCACGAUGGUCUUAACGCAAUAUGGUUGAUGAAGGAGUAUGGGGUCAAGCAAUCUUGGACUCAAGUUAUAAAGUUUUCUGCAAGGGCUAUUCCUAGAGAGUACGGACACGUCUGCUUGUGGCCUAUUUGUAUUCUAGAGAGCGGAGAACUUUUGGUUAACAAUGGGAGUACAGGUUUCUUGGUGUUAUAUGAUCCAAAGGAAAACACAUUCAAGAAUGUUACCAAGAUUCAUGAAUUGAAUUGUGGAGCUUUAGUUUACAGAGAGACUUUAGUUUCACCAGUAACUGGCAGUGUUAUAGACAUCUGAAGUCGCCGUUGUGGUGAGUCUUUUCUUUGCUUUCUCGGUCUAGUAUGAUUGUUCCUUGUGCAAUGCGUCUAAAGCAGCAUCAUGGUAGAUUACAUUUGCAAAGAGAUCAAGAAGCCAAGCAACCCAGUAUAAGGUCAAGGUGGGAGUCUGGAUGUAGAGGCAUGCGUUUCCUUCGCUUGAAAACAAAUUCAAAGAUCCUAGCAGAUUGACUAGCUGAGCUGUCAUUCCUCAAGUAGCUGAAGUUCUCAGAGCUAUGUGUCCUUAUCAUAUGUAUAAACUUUGUGUUUUUGUAAUAAACUAUAAUUUGGGUGUUUAAGUAGAGCUUUGUGUUUGAUUUCUCAACCCAGAACCUGAUCUAAUGCAGUACUUUUUGACUUCUGGAAGAGGAAUGUUUGAUACAAAUGGAAAUGAACUGAGACAUACAGUGUGGAAAUGCAAAUGUUUUGGAUGA
RNA transcript from Rosa chinensis, 1656 nucleotides. It is a transcript of the gene named F-box/kelch-repeat protein At3g06240, with no coding region annotated. Lineage: Eukaryota; Viridiplantae; Streptophyta; Magnoliopsida; Rosales; Rosaceae. The transcript has 2 exons. The record is from RefSeq and is a predicted model, not a curated record.